RNAcentral lists this ribosomal RNA (396 nucleotides) under uncultured Clostridium sp. RNAcentral describes it as "bacterial SSU rRNA". It matches the Rfam family "Bacterial small subunit ribosomal RNA", at positions 505 to 907 of the family's 1533-position model. The record is from RNAcentral. Lineage: Bacteria; Bacillati; Bacillota; Clostridia; Eubacteriales; Clostridiaceae.
GUGCCAGCCGCUGCGGUAAUACGUAGGGAGCGAGCGUUGUCCGGAUUUACUGGGUGUAAAGGGUGCGUAGGCGGCCUGGCAAGUCAGUUGUGAAAACUAUGGGCUCAACCCAUAGCCUGCAAUUGAAACUGUUGGGCUUGAGUGAAGUAGAGGUAGGUGGAAUUCCCGGUGUAGCGGUGAAAUGCGUAGAGAUCGGGAGGAACACCAGUGGCGAAGGCGACCUACUGGGCUUUAACUGACGCUGAAGCACGAAAGCAUGGUAGCAAACAGGAUUAGAUACCCUGGUAGUCCAUGCCGUAAACGAUGAUUACUAGGUGUGGGGGUCUGACCCCUCCGUGCCGGAGUUAACACAAUAAGAAUCCACUGGGAUACGACCGCAAGGUUGAAACUCAAAGG